This 427-nucleotide ribosomal RNA is filed under the name uncultured bacterium. Its description in RNAcentral is "bacterial SSU rRNA". It matches the Rfam family "Bacterial small subunit ribosomal RNA", at positions 355 to 774 of the family's 1533-position model. The record is from RNAcentral.
UAGGGAAUAUUGGACAAUGGGGGCAACCCUGAUCCAGCCAUGCCGCGUGAGUGAAGAAGGCCCUCGGGUUGUAAAGCUCUUUUGUCCGGAAAGAAAAGCAUUCGGUGAAUACCCGGAUGUUCCGACGGUACCGGAAGAAUAAGCACCGGCUAACUUCGUGCCAGCGGCCGCGGUAAUACGAAGGGUGCAAGCGUUACUCGGAAUUACUGGGCGUAAAGCGUGCGUAGGUGGUUGUUUAAGUCUGAUGUGAAGGCCCUGGGCUCAACCUGGGAAUGGCAUUGGAAACUGGGCAGCUAGAGUGCGGUAGAGGGUAGUGGAAUUCCCGGUGUAGCAGUGAAAUGCGUAGAGAUCGGGAGGAACAUCUGUGGCGAAGGCGACUGCCUGGACCAGCACUGACACUGAGGCACGAAAGCGUGGGGAGCAAACA